ACGAACGCUGGCGGCGUGCUUAACACAUGCAAGUCGAACGGUGAAGCGCUUGCCUUUUUGGUGGGUGUGGAUGAGUGGCGAACGGGUGAGUAACACGUGAGUAACCUGCCCUCUUCUUCUGGAUAACCUCAUGAAAGUGGGGCUAAUACGGGGUAUUCCGGGUCUGUCGCAUGGCGGGUUUGGGAAAGAUUGCGCCUUUGGGUGUUUUCGGUGGGGGAUGGGCUCGCGGCCUAUCAGCUUGUUGGUGGGGUGAUGGCCUACCAAGGCGGUGACGGGUAGCCGGCCUGAGAGGGUGGACGGCCACACUGGGACUGAGACACGGCCCAGACUCCUGCGGGAGGCAGCAGUGGGGAAUAUUGCACAAUGGGCGAAAGCCUGAUGCAGCGACGCCGCGUGAGGGAUGGAGGCCUUCGGGUUGUGAACCUCUUUCGCCAGUGAAGCAGGCCUGCUCCUGUGUGGGUGGGUUGACGGUAGCUGGAUAAGAAGCGCCGGCUAACUACGUG
Molecule: ribosomal RNA, 503 nt
Filed under: uncultured bacterium
Lineage: Bacteria
Description: partial 16S ribosomal RNA
Rfam family: Bacterial small subunit ribosomal RNA
Source: RNAcentral